RNAcentral lists this ribosomal RNA (333 nucleotides) under uncultured bacterium. Its description in RNAcentral is "bacterial SSU rRNA". It matches the Rfam family "Bacterial small subunit ribosomal RNA", at positions 8 to 334 of the family's 1533-position model. The record is from RNAcentral.
AGAGUUCGAUUAUGGCUCAGGAUGAACGCUAGCUACAGGCUUAACACAUGCAAGUCGAGGGGCAGCAUGUCGGUUGCUUGCAACCGAUGAUGGCGACCGGCGCACGGGUGAGUAACGCGUAUCCAACCUACCCUUGUCCAUCGGAUAACCCGUCGAAAGGCGGCCUAACACGAUAUGCGGUUCACCGCAGGCAUCUAACGUGAACGAAAUGUGAAGGAGAAGGAUGGGGAUGCGUCUGAUUAGCUUGUUGGCGGGGUAACGGCCCACCAAGGCGACGAUCAGUAGGGGUUCUGAGAGGAAGGUCCCCCACAUUGGAACUGAGACACGGUCCAA